RNAcentral lists this ribosomal RNA (133 nucleotides) under uncultured bacterium. RNAcentral's name for it is "partial 16S ribosomal RNA". The record is from RNAcentral.
CGAAGUUAGCCGGAGCUUAUUCCGCGGGUACCGUCAUUAUCGUCCCCGCCAAAAGAGCUUUACAACCCUAGGGCCUUCGUCACUCACGCGGCAUGGCUGGAUCAGGCUUGCGCCCAUUGUCCAAUAUUCCCCA